Molecule: ribosomal RNA, 253 nt
Filed under: uncultured bacterium
Lineage: Bacteria
Description: partial 16S ribosomal RNA
Rfam family: Bacterial small subunit ribosomal RNA
Source: RNAcentral
GACGUAGGAGGCGAGCGUUGUCCGGAUUCAUUGGGCGUAAAGAGCGCGCAGGCGGCUUGGUAAGUCGGAUGUGAAAUCCCGAGGCUCAACCUCGGGUCUGCAUCCGAUACUGCCCGGCUAGAGGUAGGUAGGGGAGAUCGGAAUUCCAGGUGUAGCGGUGAAAUGCGUAGAUAUCUGGAGGAAUACCGGUGGCGAAGGCGGCAUCCUGGACCGGCAUUGACGCUGAGGAGCGAAAGCGUGGGGAGCGAACAGG